Molecule: long non-coding RNA, 997 nt
Organism: Pseudopipra pipra
Lineage: Eukaryota; Metazoa; Chordata; Aves; Passeriformes; Pipridae
Exons: 5
Source: RefSeq, a predicted model, not a curated record
UCCCGGCUCGCAGCAAAGGUGGGCGGCCUCGGCCGCGAACGGUCCCUGCAGAGACGGGAAACAGCACCCGUACCUUUCAGGAAGCGUAUCCAUGCCUGCAGCCACCUGAGACUGCAAUGGGACCCGCAUUGCUGGGGCUGUCGCCACGCACAACAUGGCAGCCGGGACUGCGGGCGCCGGGAGACGAAGCCUCCCAGCGCGCUCCGCGGCCCCUCCCGUCCCAGGCCCGGCCACCCGCGGCACCCUGCGCGACCUGCUCGUGGGCGCGCCUGGCCACGGCGAGGCAUGGCUCUGGCCCGGAGCAGCACAGGACAGGCGGAGAGGAGGAAGCUGAAAAUAAACAAAAGAGAGAGCAGCUGGAACACUUGUGGAAGGACAUGGGCAGUGUGUGCGUGCAGGGCAGCACACUGGCAGGACCUGAUGCUUCUGCAAUGGGUCCCUCUGAGCUAAUACUAACAAUGAGGAACUCUUGAUGAAGAGCAAGAAGAGAGGGAGGGUGACACUGAUGACAUUGACCAUGAAGUAACACAAGUAGAACAAGUACUGAAAUAGCGCUGAACUGUCAUUUCUUCCCCCAGUGACUGAAGAGAGUCAUGAAGAACCAGCCUUCAGAAACUUUAUGCAGGACAUGUGGAUGAAAUGCCAGAGGAGAAGCAACCUGAAUGAAUGAGACCUUCAGAAACAGAAGUAACUUUUGGUCCGAUGAGUUAAAGGUCUUGCAGCCAACUAACUGCACAUUUGGCCAUCUGCCACUGUGGCUUCCUGAAGCUGAAGGAACCAGAAAGCAGUUUCUUUAACUGCAAAUUAUUCAGAUCUCUCUGUUGAGAGCUUAGAUUUUGAGCUCUGACAGCAUUAGCAUCCAGAGUACUCACUGGUCCCCAGAGGCACCUUCUGUUUGCUGAGUGCAGUCAGGCAUCUGCUGCAGCCAGGGCACAACUUGAUCGAUCCACUGUUUGAUGUUUUGCUUUUCAUUAAAUAGAUUUUACGUACUAAGAAA